This 1060-nucleotide ribosomal RNA is filed under the name Vibrio sp. Its description in RNAcentral is "bacterial SSU rRNA". It matches the Rfam family "Bacterial small subunit ribosomal RNA", at positions 56 to 1109 of the family's 1533-position model. The record is from RNAcentral. Lineage: Bacteria; Pseudomonadati; Pseudomonadota; Gammaproteobacteria; Vibrionales; Vibrionaceae.
UGCAGUCGAGCGGAACGAGAAGUAGCUUGCUACUUCGGCGUCGAGCGGCGGACGGGUGAGUAAUGCAUAGGAAGUUGCCCAGUAGAGGGGGAUAACCAUUGGAAACGAUGGCUAAUACCGCAUAACCUCUUCGGAGCAAAGCGGGGGACCUUCGGGCCUCGCGCUACUGGAUACGCCUAUGUGGGAUUAGCUAGUUGGUGAGGUAAUGGCUCACCAAGGCGACGAUCCCUAGCUGGUCUGAGAGGAUGAUCAGCCACACUGGGACUGAGACACGGCCCAGACUCCUACGGGAGGCAGCAGUGGGGAAUAUUGCACAAUGGGCGAAAGCCUGAUGCAGCCAUGCCGCGUGUAUGAAGAAGGCCUUCGGGUUGUAAAGUACUUUCAGUUGUGAGGAAGGUUUCGUAGUGAAUANCUGCGUUGCUUGACGUUAGCAACAGAAGAAGCACCGGCUAACUCCGUGCCAGCAGCCGCGGUAAUACGGAGGGUGCGAGCGUUAAUCGGAAUUACUGGGCGUAAAGCGCAUGCAGGUGGUUUGUUAAGUCAGAUGUGAAAGCCCGGGGCUCAACCUCGGAAGGUCAUUUGAAACUGGCAAACUAGAGUACUGUAGAGGGGGGUAGAAUUUCAGGUGUAGCGGUGAAAUGCGUAGAGAUCUGAAGGAAUACCAGUGGCGAAGGCGGCCCCCUGGACAGAUACUGACACUCAGAUGCGAAAGCGUGGGGAGCAAACAGGAUUAGAUACCCUGGUAGUCCACGCCGUAAACGAUGUCUACUUGGAGGUUGUGGCCUUGAGCCGUGGCUUUCGGAGCUAACGCGUUAAGUAGACCGCCUGGGGAGUACGGUCGCAAGAUUAAAACUCAAAUGAAUUGACGGGGGCCCGCACAAGCGGUGGAGCAUGUGGUUUAAUUCGAUGCAACGCGAAGAACCUUACCUACUCUUGACAUCCAGAGAACUUUCCAGAGAUGGAUUGGUGCCUUCGGGAACUCUGAGACAGUGCUGCAUGGCUGUCGUCAGCUCGUGUUGUGAAAUGUUGGGUUAAGUCCCGCAACGAGCGCACCCAUAUC